CUUGCCUCCAGGGGCAUUGCGGGUAUGGGUGCUGUAUCCUAUUGUGUCAGUAGGUGGCAGAGAGGAGAGAGGUUAUGUCUAUGCUCAGUGUUCUGACCUGUGGGCACCUGAAUGAUUAGUAGCCUAACAUU
Rattus rattus (black rat) is the source of this 131-nucleotide small nucleolar RNA. RefSeq annotates it as small nucleolar RNA SNORA17. The record is from RefSeq and is a predicted model, not a curated record. The transcript has a single exon. Lineage: Eukaryota; Metazoa; Chordata; Mammalia; Rodentia; Muridae.